AACCAGAGACACAGGAAGAAAGAAAAACAGAGAAAAGAAAAAGGAAGAAAGAAAGCAAG
This 59-nucleotide non-coding RNA is filed under the name Crypthecodinium cohnii. Lineage: Eukaryota; Dinophyceae; Gonyaulacales; Crypthecodiniaceae. The record is from RNAcentral.